Molecule: non-coding RNA, 545 nt
Organism: Arachis ipaensis
Lineage: Eukaryota; Viridiplantae; Streptophyta; Magnoliopsida; Fabales; Fabaceae
Source: RefSeq, a predicted model, not a curated record
GGGAUCUUCUGGUCGUCGUCAGGCAUCUGGUCGUCGUCGUCUGGCUGUGCUCUUCCGCGCCCUUUUAGUUCUUCUUCCAAGAGCAUGGGUUAGCCGGAUAAUCGUUCUUAUUUCAUAGGAGGAGUUCUUUUAACUUUCACAAGAGCGUAUUCUAGGAACCUUGCUUUCACCUCUGUGUAACGCUUGAGCAGUCGAGUUUCUUCCCUUUGUUCUUCAGGUUCUCUCUUUCUUUGCUAAGUUUCUUGAUGAGGCUGUGGGCAUCUUCAAAGCUAUAAAUUAUGGAAUUAGCCCUCUCUUUCUCUUUAUUAAUUGUUGAUUUAAUUGUCUAAUUGUUUGGAUUAUGACUUCUGAAUUUAUUUUCUGAAUUUUUGAUGUCGAAUGUAAUUGAUAAUUUUCUGUUUUGAACUUUUGGUGCUGCAUGUAUUGUUUGCUUUUUGAUGUGAUUAAAAAUUCUGUAAAUCUAUUUAACUAUCAAUAUUUAGUCAUUGGCUGUAACUGAAUUUAAUUUGUGUAAAUUUGUGUUUGUAACUUGUAGUUAUUACUAA